UACGAAGGGUGCAAGCGUUACUCGGAAUUACUGGGCGUAAAGCGUGCGUAGGUGGUCUGUUAAGUCUGAUGUGAAAGCCCUGGGCUCAACCUGGGAAUUGCAUUGGAUACUGGCAGGCUAGAGUGCGGUAGAGGAUGGCGGAAUUCCCGGUGUAGCAGUGAAAUGCGCAGAUAUCGGGAAGAACACCUAUGGCGAAGGCAGCUCUCUGGGACGGUACUGACGCUGAGACGCGAAAGCGUGGGGAGCGAACAGG
This 253-nucleotide ribosomal RNA is filed under the name uncultured bacterium. RNAcentral's name for it is "partial 16S ribosomal RNA". It matches the Rfam family "Bacterial small subunit ribosomal RNA", at positions 524 to 776 of the family's 1533-position model. The record is from RNAcentral.